UUUUUUUUUUUUUUUUUUUUUUUUUUUUUUUUUUUGAGACAGAGUCUCGCUCUGUCACCCAGUGGUGCGAUCUCGGCUCACUGCAAGCUCCACCUCCCGGGUUCACGCCAUUCUCCUGCCUCAGCCUCCCGAGUAGCUGGGACUACAGGCUCCCGCCACCACGCCCGGCAAAUUUUUUUUGUAUUUUUAGUAGAGACGGGAUUUCACCGUGUUAGCCAGGAUGGUCUCAAUCUCCUGACCUCGUGAUCCACCUGCCUCCUCCUCCCAAAGUGCUGGGAUUACAGGUGUGAGCCACCGCGCCCAGCCAAACAGUAAUUAUCUUAAUUCACGUUUUUCUUUUAGUUUUUCAGAUUAACUCUAAGUAAUUCAUACUGUACAUUUCUGAAAUUGAAGUACACACAGCUUCAAUUCUGUGCAGGGAGGAUGCAACAGGAGAGAAUAUCCUGGGCACAUCUUUCUGGAGAAUCACUUUUACUACAAGAUUUGUAAGAAACAAAUUUAUUUCCAAGGGUGGACAACAUGGAUGUCUUCACCUGCCAGGGUCAAGGACAAGCCAGCUGGAGCAGCUGCAUCUCCUGGAGGAUUUUGAUCUCCUGCAACUAAAGGGAAAGAAAGGAUGCUGAGACAGGUCCUGCAGCAUACACAUAACUAUAAUUCAGAAAGUGAUACACAUACACACAGGUAAAUAUAAUCAGAAAGUGAUAUAAUCUUAUAU
RNAcentral lists this long non-coding RNA (715 nucleotides) under Pongo abelii (Sumatran orangutan). RNAcentral describes it as "lncRNA (ENSPPYG00000035708.1)". The record is from RNAcentral. Lineage: Eukaryota; Metazoa; Chordata; Mammalia; Primates; Hominidae.